Molecule: long non-coding RNA, 1768 nt
Organism: Mauremys mutica (yellowpond turtle)
Lineage: Eukaryota; Metazoa; Chordata; Testudines; Geoemydidae
Exons: 4
Source: RefSeq, a predicted model, not a curated record
GUCACAUCUUGAGUGGAGGGAGUAAAGGUGCUGGCAAACCCAGAGAUGUGACCACCCAGUAGAAUAGGAAGAAGCCCAGGAAAACAGUAGUAAGGAUUAAGGUGAUAUAGGCUUUGGCUGCAUGUUACAGGGUCCCUGGGCUGGAACCCAAUAUAGAGAGCAGGGCUGAGUUCCUCUACCAGCCACUGGGUAGUGGUACAAAGCAUUGGAGAUGCCCCCCAGACAGCAGAAUCUGGAAGGCCCUUGAAUUCCCUGGAAGGGGAGGACUUCAGUGAUCUAGCCUGAGGGCCAAACCACAAAGAGGAAGUUGCAGAUUUGGGAGUGAGCAGAGCAGCAGAAUGAGAUCUGUCAGCCCAGUGUAGAGCAUAGAAUUAACAGGAAAGAGAAGGUUCCAGCAGGAGCGAUCUAAACUGUAUUAAAGAUGCAGCAAGAAAUUGUGAGAUCAGAGAGCACUGGUGGAUCAUCUUAUCUGGGAGAGCCUGUCUGCCCGAGUGGAAGAAGAGCUGAAGAUGCUAUAUAAAAUAACUCCCCUGAAUCCACACAAGUGUAAAGCAGAAGAUUUUCAUUUCUACAAGGUAUUCAUUGAACUGGUUUGCUAUUCCAGCCAUGAUCCAGAAGAUUCACCACCUCCAGGCAGGAGCCCAUUUGGAACAUGGAGCCAGCAUGAUCAGCAGGGCAGGCAAACUCUCCAUGCCAAACAAACAGAAAUGGAAAUUCAAAAGUUCCCAGUCCUUUAACAGGGGAAAGGCUGUUUUCUGUGUACAUGGCUGCUGGGCAGUGGAGUAUUGUGGGACAUCUCCUGGAGGCCAGUUAUGUUGCAACACAAUGUCUACCUAAGCAACACAGUGUCUACACUGCCAUUACGGUGACCUAACUAUAUCAAAUUUAAUGCUAUGCCUCUUGCGGAGGUGGAGUUAUUAAGUCGACAUAGUUACAUCAGCAGAAGGGACCUUCUAGUGUAGACAGACAUUAUUAGGUCAAUGUAACUGUGUACUGUAGACUAGGCUAAUGAUCUUGUCUAGCCUUAAUCUAUGAAUUUAAUGGUAUGAGUAUUAGAUGACUAGCCCAAAGAGAUGAUAGGAACAGGUAGGAACUUGAAAUCUUUCAUCAGUUACCAUAUAAAUUAUCAAUCUACAGCAAAUCAGCUAGUUAAUACUUCAGAACCAUAAGCCACUUCAGUAACUAGCUUUCCCAGAACUAUGACAACUCAAGUUAAAAAAACAAUUUUUAAAAGCAAGUAGUUAAAAUUUUGAUCAUUAAAUACACAGUUCCUUUAACAUGAUUCUAACUGAAAUCUACUUGAGUCAAAAUAUUAUUUUCCCUCCACUGCAUUCUUUCCUCAGUUCAGCUAGAAAAUGUGAAGGUGAGGAUGUUAAAUCACCGUUAUGGAACUAAACAUAUUUAAGCAAAAGCCAGAUUGAAAUGUUUUGACCAGAUAUUCAGUGGUUUGGGAAAUGCUUUUUAUAAAGCAGAAAAGCUAGGCUGUCUGUUAUACCCUGAUGGGGUAUUUUAUGAAGCACAAAGGCAAAGUGAGUCCCAGGUGGAAUAUUACUGCCUAAUAUAUGCAGAAACCUAAAGUUUUUAGUGUACCCUCACCAUCUGUUAUAGUUCUGGCUGGUAUGCUGUUGUCAGCAGCCACAUGCUUUCUGAUCACAGUAGAUAAACUAGAGUCUGAGUUCACUGACAAUGCACAUGAAGAAGAAACUAGACCUUCAGGGCUCAAUCCUGCAAGGUGCUGAGCCUUCUGGUCUCAUCAAGCAAAGCACUU